ACGGGAGGCAGCAGUGGGGAAUAUUGGACAAUGGGGGAAACCCUGAUCCAGCGACGCCGCGUGAGUGAAGAAGUAUUUCGGUAUGUAAAGCUCUAUCAGCAGGGAAGAUGAUGACGGUACCUGACUAAGAAGCCCCGGCUAACUACGUGCCAGCAGCCGCGGUAAUACGUAGGGGGCAAGCGUUAUCCGGAUUUACUGGGUGUAAAGGGAGCGUAGGCGGCCAGACAAGUCAGAUGUGAAAACCCUGGGCUUAACCCGGGACCUGCAUUUGAAACUGUAGGGCUAGAGUACUGGAGAGGCAAGUGGAAUUCCUAGUGUAGCGGUGAAAUGCGUAGAUAUUAGGAGGAACACCAGUGGCGAAGGCGGCUUACUGGACUGUAACUGACGUUGAGGCUCGAAAGCGUGGGGAGCAAACAGGAUUAGAUACCCUGGUA
RNAcentral lists this ribosomal RNA (434 nucleotides) under uncultured Lachnospiraceae bacterium. RNAcentral describes it as "bacterial SSU rRNA". It matches the Rfam family "Bacterial small subunit ribosomal RNA", at positions 341 to 792 of the family's 1533-position model. The record is from RNAcentral. Lineage: Bacteria; Bacillati; Bacillota; Clostridia; Lachnospirales; Lachnospiraceae.